CUCGUCGCUGCGUCUCAGCCCAUCGACGCCUUCUGCUCCCUCAUUGCUUCGUCGUCUCCAUAGGAGACGAUCCCCUUCCUGAGUCAAGGUGUCUAUCCAUAAUUAGGCGAUAGUAAAUGGGGUCUAUCCACAAUUAAGCAUGGAUGUUAUAAAGAUUGUUGUAUUCUUACCUCAAAUACUCUCUUGAAGAAGUGAAGACGACUGAGUGCAGAACUGAGUAACAAACACUUUGAUCCAGGGUUGCUGAGAAUUGUAAGAGAGCCAAGGCUUGCAGCAAGUGCUGGUGUGUAUCCCACAAGCAUCCCAAUCCUGCUUGCUACUUUAGUUUCCUUCCUGUUUUCUGGUGAACUCGAGUUUAAAAAAAACUUGGGAGUAUGGAAUAUUUUUGCCUCUGACUUCAGAGAAGCCGGCAUUUAACAUGGAAACUAAGGCUACUACAGACGCAACCUUGACAAAGACGGAGGCAGGACCAUGAAGCUUAACAAGAUAGACAUUCUCUGUGUUUGUGUGUAUGAGUGCUGUGGUGUCUUUUAUGAGAAAUCAUGUGUCUUUUAUGAGAAAUUAUGGGAAACCAUGUGAUUCCUACGUGGCCCUUUACAGUAUCAGGAGAACUUGAGGAUAUCAUUGCCUGCAGAAAUAUAAGCUUCAGAAUA
Asparagus officinalis (garden asparagus) is the source of this 653-nucleotide long non-coding RNA. RefSeq lists it as uncharacterized. NCBI's taxonomy places the organism in Eukaryota, Viridiplantae, Streptophyta, Magnoliopsida, Asparagales, Asparagaceae. The transcript has 2 exons. The record is from RefSeq and is a predicted model, not a curated record.